Danio aesculapii is the source of this 640-nucleotide long non-coding RNA. RefSeq lists it as uncharacterized. The transcript has 6 exons. The record is from RefSeq and is a predicted model, not a curated record. NCBI's taxonomy places the organism in Eukaryota, Metazoa, Chordata, Actinopteri, Cypriniformes, Danionidae.
AAAAAUCACGGGGAGACGCACUCUGUUCAGCAGGUGUCUUGAUAUCAUCAUCCGAUGGUAGCUGCUCAGAUCUCAGACUGCCAGAAGCACAUCUCAGCAUUGAUGAAUCCUGCCAAAGACUGAGCUCCUCAUCGUCCCUGAAGUUUCCAACAUUCUUCAAAACCAUAAAUGUGUUCAACAGAACAAAAAAAGUCAAACUGGAUUGGAACAAGUGGAGGUACUCAGACUGCCUGAAGCACAUCUCAGCAUUGAUAAAGCCCAGCAAAGACUGACCUCCUCAUCUUCCCUGAAGUUUCCAACAUUCUUCAAAAGCAUAAAUGUGUUCAACAGAUGAAAGUCUAACUGGUUUGGAACAAGUGGAGUACCAGUUUGCUGGGUGUCCAGAUGUCUCCUUUCUCCAGGACCAUGAAUGGAGUAUUAGUGGGCAGAGACUGAAAGAAGGCCUCAGACUCCACCACCGUCCCAUCAUCCUCCAGCACCAGCGUGAUGGUCUGCACCACCUUUGCAGUGCCUGCAUCCACACCUUGAGAACCACUGAAUUAUAGGAUGCCUUGAGGGUGGACUUUAGAAAUCAUUUCCCAGAUGGAGGAAAUGAAAGGACAUUUUGAAGACUGAACAGAACCAGACUGCAGUAUUAUUG